GUACUUUCAGCGGGGAGGAAGGGAGUAAAGUUAAUACCUUUGCUCAUUGACGUUACCCGCAGAAGAAGCACCGGCUAACUCCGUGCCAGCAGCCGCGGUAAUACGGAGGGUGCAAGCGUUAAUCGGAAUUACUGGGCGUAAAGCGCACGCAGGCGGUUUGUUAAGUCAGAUGUGAAAUCCCCGGGCUCAACCUGGGAACUGCAUCUGAUACUGGCAAGCUUGAGUCUCGUAGAGGGGGGUAGAAUUCCAGGUGU
This 254-nucleotide ribosomal RNA is filed under the name Klebsiella pneumoniae. Its description in RNAcentral is "partial 16S ribosomal RNA". It matches the Rfam family "Bacterial small subunit ribosomal RNA", at positions 430 to 676 of the family's 1533-position model. The record is from RNAcentral. Lineage: Bacteria; Pseudomonadati; Pseudomonadota; Gammaproteobacteria; Enterobacterales; Enterobacteriaceae.